CAACAACACCAACAGCAUCAACAACAACACCAGACCACUACCAGCCCUUCCGCCGCCUACGAAGCGCCUGAAGCACACCAUCACUAAGUGCCACUGUGGCUCAUCGGGUGUUCGGGCUCACGGCCUUCGCAACGCCACGCUGGUCCUCCACUCUGCUCGCCGAUUUCCUUCCGCUUCAGUAUUUAUUUAUUUUCUAAUUUAUUUCAAGUCGUACUGACUGAUCAGACUGAUCAAUAAAAGAUACGGUAAAUAAA
This 254-nucleotide long non-coding RNA is filed under the name Penaeus japonicus. RNAcentral's name for it is "uncharacterized LOC122253006". Lineage: Eukaryota; Metazoa; Arthropoda; Malacostraca; Decapoda; Penaeidae. The record is from RNAcentral.